GCUCCAACAUUAUAUCUAUCCCUCCUGGCUCUAACGGGCAGCAGGAAGCACAGCACUGCCAGUCACCACGCAGACGCUGUGAGAGGCCGAGGUGAGCUGGAGUUCCACGCCUCACGCGGCAGCUGUGCUGCAAUGCGCGAGUGCCGCGCCACGUAGCCGAGGGGGAGGAAUUCUGCGCGAUCCAGUGUUCCAGCGGCCAGCAUUCAGCCAGCCUUCCGGACCACACGAAGGAUCUUAGUAUGCAGUGCUGCCAUGCCUGGUUUUAUGUGCUGCUGCUGCUGGCACCCGGGGCACUGUGAUGCCAGGCCCUACCCAGAUCCCAGACGCUACCUAUGAAACUGUCUCUCCAGCCCUCAAGUACUUCAACCUUGAAGAAGAAUGAGAUAGAUUGGAUAUUACUGGGUUUUGUUUGUUUUGUUGUUGUUGUUGUUGAUUAAAGAGGCAUGUGCCACCACUGCCUAGCAAUUACUGCCCCCUCCCCCAACAUGGUUUCUCUGUGUAGAGUUUUGGCUGUCCUGGAACUCACUCUGUAGACCAGGCUAGCCUCAAACUCACAGAGAUUCACCUGCGUCUGCCUCCCUAGUGCUGGGCGUGGAGGCGUGUGCCAGCAUUGUGAAGCUUGGUUUUUAGGUGGGCACAUUUUAAUUGAUUGACAUGCCUAUCUAAAGAGGCAAGAGCAGAGCAGCCAGGCUUUUACCCUGCUUGUAGUUAUCCUGUGGGGCCAAAUGAGCAUCCAACUGGUUUUUGAUUUUUAUUGAUUUUUAGCAAACAUAAUUUCCAAAUGUGUGUUUAAUCACCAUCUAUAAUGAAACAGAAAUCCGAAAGCACCUAGAAAUGUGUCUCCCAAAAUACGUGCAAGACUAUUAGAAAGCUACAAAAAGAUCUUAUGUACAUAUCUGAAAAUACCUGAUAUCCUAAAGACACACUUCUUUCCCCAAAACUGAUCAAUAUAUGCAAUACAAUUCCAAACAAAAUUUCAAUCGGGUCUUAAAAAAAAUACAGCUCCUCUGCAGGCAGGGCUGGAUGGCUCAGUGCCUCAGAAGUCCCUGCUCUCUGACACGGUGUCUGGGGAUGUUUGCCUCAGAGCACACCAGCAUGCACUGUGUCAAAGAUGAGUGCUUUCUAAGGCUGACCACACACACGCACCCCAGGUCUGCCCACCUCAUAGUCUUUCCGGGCUAAUGAGCUGGGGUGACCUGCUUUGUGUGGGAAGCUAACAGGCCAGGAGCCCAGAUAGACAAGGAAGCUGCAGCCGAGAGCAUUGUAGAAACACCUCCAUUGUGGCUGAAAGCAUGUGGGCUGCGCAGCACUCCUUACCCGAAGAACUUCCAAACUAUUCUUGCCAAUCAUGCCAGCAAAGAGUGCAAAGGACAUUUCUAUAAGGACAGGUACUGAGCCAGGCAUAGUGUAAUCCCAGCACUCGAGAGGCAGAGGCAGGUGGAUCUCUGUGAGUUUGAGGCCAGCCUGGGCUACAAAGGGAGUCCAGGACAGCCAAGGCUCCACAGAGAAACCCCAUCUCAAAAAAAAAAAAAAAAAAGAACUGGUACUGACCCAAGAAAGUUUUCACCAGAUACAAGAAAUGGCAGCAAAAAGCAGCAUGAACAGCACAAAGGCUUCGAGGUCACCCAUGUUAUCACUCACACUGAUGAGUGCCUGCUUCUCGUCCACCAGGAGUAAGGUGAAGAGGGCACUGUGGCCGAGAAAACCUAGACAUGACCUGGAGGGGUGGGAUCACAGAGUCCCCAUAAAUGAGGUGUUUACACAGGCUGGGACGAUUGAUGGCAUCAGGGUGAGCAAGAGCAAAGGCUACAAAGAGGUCCUCAGUUACUGACACACCAAGGGCUGAGCAAAGUUGCCUGUGUCGGAGGCUGUCACUCUGCCCUUGGGGCCUCCUCUAGCAUGAGCUGAGCAGAAAGGCUACCUCCACGGAGCUGCAAUCCACAAGAAGGCCUGCAUAGAUUGGUCAGGCUACAGUCCCCUCUUAUCCGAUAAGAGCGUCAACCCACCAGGUAGCUCUGUCUCUUACAGGUAAAGUGACCUACGUCUUUGUCAUGCUGAAAGCUGUAUGUUGGGGCCGGUAUGUAUGUACCUGUGUACCCUACGCAAGCCCUUAAUGGUGCAAACCAGAUAAACUGCAGGCUCUGUAGAAGAUGUAUCCCAAGUUCAUGGACACCAGAUUUGGCUGUGGCCAAUUCCAUGAUAUAAAGAGGAAAUCAUUCAUGGAAUACUUAAAAAAGACAAGACUGACUGGGCUGAACAUAUAGCUCAGUGGGUAAACAUUUGGGGACUGGGUUUGAACCCCUAGAACCCAUAGUCAGCUGAGUAAACUCUGUAGCUAGUGUCUAUAAUGCCAGUGUUCCUACAGUGAAACAGACACGGGAGAAACCCUGCAGGCUCAGGGCCAGAUAGCCUGUCAUGCCCAGUGAGGAACAGCAAAGAGGCCCUGGAUCAAACAGGUGGAAGGCAAGAAUCAAUACCCGGAUGUGCUCUGACCUCUAUGCACUGUCACAAACCCGUGCACACAUUCAGAGACAUAAAUGUUCAUACACACACAGAAGAUUUUUUUUUUAAAGGAAAAGAAAGAAGAUUGCCAAGGAAGCAGGUACUUAAUGGCACCAUGUUUCACAGCUGACAAGAACGCGGUGUUUUUAUUCCUCCUGGCAAGGGAAAAAAAGAACACCCAACUUUACUCAAACAUCCUUCACAUCACAUGAUUCAUCCCUGAAACUACGCAACAGAGGUUCUUUAACGUGGUUUUCAACCUGGAAAGAUUCUAAAAUGUCUGUGCAAUGUAGACAGUUUAAAAUAGGUUGGCUCCUACUGAGGCUAAAACCAUGUGUUACAGAAGUGUUCCCAGGCAAACUGGCAGCAGCAGUGGAGAAUGGAAAAUGCUCUAAAGGGCCGUGGGCACAUUCUGGAGGCCUGUGCCAUAUCGUACUAAGUAAAGCCAGCAGGGAAAGAGAAUCACCUGAAAGCAGCUUCUAUAUAGAGCUGCAGCAAUUAAGGUAGAGGUAUCUCUUAUUUUUUGAGACAAGAUUUCUCUUUUUUUUUUUCAAAGGUUUAUUUAUUUAUUUUAUGUAUAUGAACACUGUUUUCAUGCACAGCAGAAGAGGGAAUCAGAUUCUAUUACAGAUGGUUAAAAGCCACCAUGUGGUUGCUGGGAAUUGAACUCAGGACCUCUGGAAGAGCAGCCAGUGCUCUUAACCACUAAGCUAUCUCUAGCCCAAGACAGGGUUUCUCUGUGUAGCUUUGGCUAUCCUGCACUUACUCUGUAGACCAGGCUGGCCUCGAACUCACAGAGAUCCCCUACCUCUGCCUCCUGAGUGCUGGGAUUACAAGCAUGCACCACCAUGCCCAGCUGGCAGAGACAUUCCAACAGCUGGUCAGUUGUGGCGCUGGAGAGAUAAUUCAGAACGUGAUGCUCUUGCAGAGAAUCCAAGUUCAAUUCCCAGAACCCACAUGGCAUCUCACAGCUGUUGUUCUAGUUCCAGGAGAUCUAGUCCCCUCUUCUGCCUUCCACUGCCACUGCACAUACAUGCACACAAUUCGUGCAGGCAAAACACUCAGACAUAUAGCACACAAAAUUUUAAAAACAGGGCUGGAGAGACGGCUCAGAGGUUAAGAGCACUGGCUGCUCUUCCAGAGGUCCUGAGUUCAAUUCCCAGCAACCACAUGGUGGCUCACAACCAUCUAUAAUGCGAUCUGGUGCCCUCCUCUGGCCUGCAGGUGAAUAGCACUAUUAGGAGGUGUGGCCUUGUUAGAGGAAGUGUGAUCUUCAAAUGUGAGAUUUCAAAUGCAUAACCAAGGCCUAGUCUGUCUGUCUGUCUGUCUGUCUGUUUCUCUCUCCCCCGCCACUACUUGUGGAUCCAGAUAGAGGACCCUCAACUACCGCUCCAGCACCAGGUCUGCCUGCAUGCUUCCCAUCAUGAUGACCGUGGACUAACAUUCUGAACUGUAAGCCAGCUCCCAUUAAGACAAGGCUGAAGGUUCUAUACCUAGCACCGCGCACUGCAUAAUUCCAAGCUUCGGGCUACACCUGUGAUGACAGCGCAAGGCGGUGGAGGCAGGAGUUUCAAGAAACUCAAGGUCAUUCUCAGUUACAUAGUGCCGGGGAAUUGAACUCAGGCAUCAGGCUUGGAGUCAAAUACCUUUAAGCUACUGAGCCACUGUGGCCCUCAGCAACACUGAACAAAGACAUUACAGAUGGCUUGAAUCUUCACAACCAAAAUUUGAGCACAGUACACAGAAAGGGAAGAAAAAGAAAUUGUUUAUUUGUUACUAGGUACUUUUUUGUAUGAAGAAAGUUUCCUUUGUUAAUUCAUUCAGCAUUUGUUGAGGAAAAACAGGCUGUGAAAGAAGAGGUCCCUCCAGAAAUUAGCUGCUACAGAUCAAGGGUGAAGGCCCAGCCUGGACCACCCCGCCACAGGAAGGGCUCCAGAGACAGAAAGUGCCCCAAGGUCCUGGAAGACUUUACAUUUGUUUUAAAACACUUAAACUCUCUGGUAAAAGAUGUACAUAAUGGCUAAUUAUUAUAUGAUUCAUUUUUGUUCAUAACUCUGUGUACUGUUAAUUCUUAUCUUAAACUAUUUUCAUUCCUCCUAAUUCCUUGUUCAAAUAUUUUUUUUCAUGCCCAUUAGCCUUCUGUUUCAAUAUCUACUUUGUCUCAUUUUCCCAAGAU
Long non-coding RNA from Psammomys obesus (fat sand rat), 4678 nucleotides. RefSeq lists it as uncharacterized. The record is from RefSeq and is a predicted model, not a curated record. The transcript has 3 exons. NCBI's taxonomy places the organism in Eukaryota, Metazoa, Chordata, Mammalia, Rodentia, Muridae.